RNAcentral lists this ribosomal RNA (559 nucleotides) under uncultured bacterium. RNAcentral describes it as "partial 16S ribosomal RNA". It matches the Rfam family "Bacterial small subunit ribosomal RNA", at positions 355 to 1375 of the family's 1533-position model. The record is from RNAcentral.
UGGGGAAUAUUGGACAAUGGGCGCAAGCCUGAUCCAGCAAUGCCGCGUGAGUGAUGAAGGCCUUAGGGUUGUAAAGCUCUUUCGCACGCGACGAUGAUGACGGUAGCGUGAGAAGAAGCCCCGGCUAACUUCGUGCCAGCAGCCGCGGUAAUACGAAGGGGGCUAGCGUUGUUCGGAAUUACUGGGCGUAAAGGGCGCGUAGGCGGCCUGUUUAGUCAGAAGUGAAAGCCCCGGGCUCAACCUGGGAAUAGCUUUUGAUACUGGCAGGCUUGAGUUCCGGAGGGGAUGGUGGAAUUCCCAGUGUAGAGGUGAAAUUCGUAGAUAUUGGGAAGAACACCGGUGGCGAAGGCGGCCAUCUGGACGGACACUGACGCUGAGGCGCGAAAGCGUGGGGAGCAAACGGAUUAGAUACCCUGGUAGUCCACGCCGUAAACGAUGAAUGCUAGACGUCGGGGUGCAUGCACUUCGGUGUCGCCGCUAACGCAUUAAGCAUUCCGCCUGGGGAGUACGGCCGCAAGGUUAAAACUCAAAGGAAUUGACGGGGUCAUAGCUGUUUCCU